AGGUGCGUUUGGCAGCCGAGGUGGAGGCCGAGGAGGAGGAGGCGGAGGUGGUGGUGGAAGAGGAGGUGGACGAGGAGGAGGCAGAGGAAGAGGAGAUUCAUAGUGUCUAUCGUUGUUGUGUUGUACUGUAUGAAUCCUUAGUGUAUGUUUGAGCUGAUCAGUAAAUUCUGUAUGGAUCAUUGAUGUGUUACUUAGAUCUGAUCGAUUGACUGAAUGAAGAAGUAACUGAGUGUGGAUAUGACAGAUGCUUCUAUAAAACUUCAAACUUCACAUCAUUAAAUCUUAAUCAUGAUUGAUAUUGUACUUAUAUUCCUUUAAUUUGAGAGAUUUGUUUACUCCCUCAGCAAUUUGUAGUUCACUUAAUCACUUAAGGUUGAGAAUACAAGGUGUUGACAUCAACAAGGAUUUGCACUUACAGAGUCAUACAUCAGGUGCCAUAAGAGAAAUGAUCAAAGAAUUAUUCUAUUUCUAUGUUGUUUGAUGAAGUUGCAUUGUAUAUCAUAUAUAGAUUGAAAAGUUCAAAUGAAGUUUUACAUCAAUGCAUUUUAGGUAUUGUAAACUAUAUGAUAGAUCUCUUCUGACCUUUGGUUAGUAAGUUUACACCUACAUUCAUAUCUUGGAUUCUGAUAGAUGUGGGAUUGUUGAAAUGUGUAGUUAUAUUUUUUACUACAAAAAAGACCAUCUGAUGUUGAAUAUAAAGAGAUGCUGGCAUAGUCAAUGAGAUAGAACCCAACAAUAGAAAAACUAAUAGACAUCUAUUCUUAUUAUACGACUGUAAAAAAUUUUUGCAUUCGUAUAAUGGUAUGAUGUCGUCGUCUGCAUUGUCCAAAGACACAUUUGGUGUCCAGACAAUAACUUUAGUUUAAGUAAAUGGAUCUCUAUGAAAUUUUAAUAAAAAGGUUCAAUACCGCAAAAGGAAGGUUGGGAUUGAUUUUGGGGAUGAUGGUCCAAACCGUUUUAGAAUUAGGGGCCCAAAAGGAGCCAAAACAAGUAUUUUUCUACUUUCAGGAUAUCAACUUGUGUAAUAGUAUUUCAAUUGCUCUGAAAUUGUACCACAAUAUUUAAUACCACAGGUUAAAGGUUUGGAUUGAUUUUGGGAGUUAUGGUUCCAAAGGUUUAGGAAUAACAGGCCGAAAAGGAGACCCAAAAUAAGCAUUUUUGUAGUUUUCAAACAAAAACUUGUGUUUAAGUGUAUGAAUCUCUUUGAAAUUAUACCACAAGUUUCCAUACCAUGAAGGGAUGGUUAGUAUUGACUUUUGGGGGUAAUGGCUCAAAAUGUUUUGGAAUUAGGGGCAAAAAAGGGGAAAAAUUAGGUUUUUGGUUAAUGGACAAUUAAGACAAUUUAAAAGCAGUGUAAGGGAGGAAACUCAAAUAUAUUUAUCAUACAAUGUUGGGUAUGUUUGGAUUUACCUCCCUUACACUACUUUUGAAUUAUGUAUAAAGAAAUGUCAGGUUUUGGACUAAUUGCAAAAAAAAGGGGGGCGUGGUAGUAGUUUUCAAUUUUUUUUCCAAAUUUCUCAAAUUCAAAUUUUUGAAAAGUUUGAAGAAGAAUCUUCAAUUGCACAAUUGACAUCUGUUUUGUGUCAGAAACUCAUAAAGACAUUAUGUCAAAAAAUUUGAUCCCAGUCCAAAUGCAGAGCUGUAUCAAGCUUGAAUGUUGUGUCCAUACUUGCCCCAACUGUUCAGGGUUUGACCUCUGCUGUCAUAUAAAGCUGUGCUCUGCGGAGCACCUGGUUGUUAACCAUUUGUUUUACAAAUUUUAAUGUUGAUGCUUUUGGUCCUGGUUUUACUGUAUUGGGUAAUUUGGGAUCUGUCUCAUUGACGUAAAUCCCACAUCUUCUUGUAUCGGUCUUUGUCUCAUUUGACCUUGUAACUAUUUUAAUCACUUUGCAUCUGACAAACAUUUGUUCUGUUGAAUUCAUGAUACAAAUUUCUACCAAACAAAGACUGAAAAAUUCAGAGUUUGGAUAUGAUUCGAUAUUUUUCUAGGGUAUUCUAUAGAGUUAUGGACAUCCUCCUACAGUGAAAUUAAGCUCAAAAGGGGUUCCCUUUGGAUGGGCAGGAUAUAUAAAUACACAUGCCAUGUAUAAUCAAAAUUGGGACAUUAGAUCAAAUGACAAGCAUUGGAAGACAGGCGCGUAGUUACGUUUACGUCAAAACGCCCGUGCGUACACUUGAUUUUUGAUAAAAAAAAAUAGUUUAAUCUAUAUAGAAUAAAAAGAUCUGUUUAAAAGCAC
This 2237-nucleotide long non-coding RNA is filed under the name Mytilus galloprovincialis (Mediterranean mussel). Lineage: Eukaryota; Metazoa; Mollusca; Bivalvia; Mytilida; Mytilidae. The record is from RNAcentral.